ACAAACUUGGUCAUUUAGAGGAAGUAAAAGUCGUAACAAGGUUUCCGUAGGUGAACCUGCGGAAGGAUCAUUAAUGAAUGCAAGAGCGCUCUUCUUAGAGGCUCGACCCAUAUCAUUUCACCCUGUGCACAAACUACUUUACACCUUUUUAAACACAAAGUCAUCAGAAUGUAAUCAAUCUCGUAAUUGAGUAUGAAAGUAAAACAACUUUCGGCAACGGAUCUCUUGGUUCCCGCAUCGAUGAAGAACGCAGC
RNAcentral lists this unclassified non-coding RNA (254 nucleotides) under uncultured fungus. RNAcentral's name for it is "partial contains small subunit ribosomal RNA, internal transcribed spacer 1, and 5.8S ribosomal RNA". The stretch from base 1 to 73 matches the Rfam family "Eukaryotic small subunit ribosomal RNA", at positions 1759 to 1831 of the family's 1831-position model. Lineage: Eukaryota; Fungi. The record is from RNAcentral.